GACAGAGGGUGCAAACGUUGUUCGGAAUUACUGGGCGUAAAGCGCGUGUAGGCGGCCCUGCAAGUCGGAUGUGAAAUCCCACGGCUCAACCGUGGAAGUGCAUUCGAAACUGCAGGGCUAGAGUCCUGGAGAGGAAGGUGGAAUGCUUGGUGUAGAGGUGAAAUUCGUAGAUAUCGGGAGGAAUACCAGUGGCGAAGGCGGCGACCUGGGCCAAUACUGACGCUGAGGCACGAAAGCGUGGGGAGCAAACAGG
RNAcentral lists this ribosomal RNA (253 nucleotides) under uncultured bacterium. Its description in RNAcentral is "partial 16S ribosomal RNA". It matches the Rfam family "Bacterial small subunit ribosomal RNA", at positions 524 to 776 of the family's 1533-position model. The record is from RNAcentral.